This is a non-coding RNA of Trachemys scripta elegans, 72 nucleotides long. The record is from the annotation of a RefSeq genome assembly. NCBI's taxonomy places the organism in Eukaryota, Metazoa, Chordata, Testudines, Emydidae.
UCCCUGGUGAUCUAGUGGUUAGGAUUUGGCACUUUCACCUCCACGGCCCAGGUUCAAUUCCUGGUCAGGGAA